RNAcentral lists this unclassified non-coding RNA (362 nucleotides) under Hevea brasiliensis (rubber tree). The record is from RNAcentral. Lineage: Eukaryota; Viridiplantae; Streptophyta; Magnoliopsida; Malpighiales; Euphorbiaceae.
UAUCAAACAAAUUGAAACGAUUGAUUUGAGCUAUUUGAACACAUGCACUUUUUUUUUUUUGACGAUAUAUAGAACACCUCGAACUAUAAAAUUCACAGCCUAUAAGCUAUGAAAUAGACCUAAAAACUGAUUAAAGAAAUGGCCAUAAAAUGCUCAGUGUCCAUAUAAUCAAAUUCCCAGUUGUAAAAUACUCAUAAAACAAAUCUAAAGGUUUAGCGAAUCCAAUGAUUGAUACUGAACAAAAACGCAAAUUCCAAGCAUUGAUCACUAAAUUGACAACAUUAGAGCUUAGAAAUGAAGGGGGCGAAAAAGCGAUAGAACAACUAGAACAAAACUUUACCUCAGGAGAAGAGUUCUCAAAA